RNAcentral lists this ribosomal RNA (753 nucleotides) under Bacillus cereus. RNAcentral describes it as "bacterial SSU rRNA". It matches the Rfam family "Bacterial small subunit ribosomal RNA", at positions 56 to 789 of the family's 1533-position model. Lineage: Bacteria; Bacillati; Bacillota; Bacilli; Caryophanales; Bacillaceae. The record is from RNAcentral.
UGCAAGUCGAGCGAAUGGAUUAAGAGCUUGCUCUUAUGAAGUUAGCGGCGGAUGGGCGGGUAACACGUGGGUAACCUGCCCAUAAGACUGGGAUAAUUCCGGGAAACCGGGGCUAAUACCGGAUAACAUUUUGAACCGCAUGGUUCGAAAUUGAAAGGCGGCUUCGGCUGUCACUUAUGGAUGGACCCGCGUCGCAUUAGCUAGUUGGUGAGGUAACGGCUCACCAAGGCAACGAUGCGUAGCCGACCUGAGAGGGUGAUCGGCCACACUGGGACUGAGACACGGCCCAGACUCCUACGGGAGGCAGCAGUAGGGAAUCUUCCGCAAUGGACGAAAGUCUGACGGAGCAACGCCGCGUGAGUGAUGAAGGCUUUCGGGUCGUAAAACUCUGUUGUUAGGGAAGAACAAGUGCUAGUUGAAUAAGCUGGCACCUUGACGGUACCUAACCAGAAAGCCACGGCUAACUACGUGCCAGCAGCCGCGGUAAUACGUAGGUGGCAAGCGUUAUCCGGAAUUAUUGGGCGUAAAGCGCGCGCAGGUGGUUUCUUAAGUCUGAUGUGAAAGCCCACGGCUCAACCGUGGAGGGUCAUUGGAAACUGGGAGACUUGAGUGCAGAAGAGGAAAGUGGAAUUCCAUGUGUAGCGGUGAAAUGCGUAGAGAUAUGGAGGAACACCAGUGGCGAAGGCGACUUUCUGGUCUGUAACUGACACUGAGGCGCGAAAGCGUGGGGAGCAAACAGGAUUAGAUACCCUG